This is a long non-coding RNA of Cryptotermes secundus, 661 nucleotides long. RefSeq lists it as uncharacterized. The record is from RefSeq and is a predicted model, not a curated record. The transcript is spliced from 2 exons. Lineage: Eukaryota; Metazoa; Arthropoda; Insecta; Blattodea; Kalotermitidae.
CCACUAAUUACGCUUCAAAUUCGCAUCUUGAUGUGUUGUCUGUACAGGAGUUGGCUGCAAGUCAGCUGUUAUCACUUUUGUGGCCAUGUAAAAAUGUUCGGUGUGAAUAUCUUGGUCUUUUGAGAAGAAAUGUGCAGCUUAAUAUUAAUUUUGUAACUUGUAAUUUUACAGAAGUAAGUUCUGUUUGUAGAAAAUGGGGCACAGGUGGGAGCACGUUGGCAUGUUACCACGGAACCCACUAAUGAUGUUACAGUUAAGCGUGUACGGGUGUGUGAAGUCAAAUGUCAAUAACGGCCUGUCAGCUGCAGGGGAAUGCAACUCAAUGCUAUUGGCGGGCAACACAGCCAGCGCGACGUCAUGAAUAUCACUGCUGCCGCGGUGGCCGGGGGACACACUCUUGAUUAAAAAAUGGCUGCCGCCAGUGCCGAGGGCUCGGUCGAUACAGGGCAGAAUGAACUCUGAUCAUCUUCUGACAACUAGUUCUACACAGACCUCUGAUAGCAAGUGCACUGAUGAUGUUAGUCUUCAGGGCAUCUACAAACUGUCCCACAGUUGGAUUAUUGUUCAAACCAUACUACGAACGAAUAGCUUCAAAUGUGUUCACAAGGUGAUCAUCAAACAGCUGUUGUCAGGUAUUCACCACAGCACCACACUGAAAGAA